RNAcentral lists this non-coding RNA (25 nucleotides) under Cricetulus griseus (Chinese hamster). Lineage: Eukaryota; Metazoa; Chordata; Mammalia; Rodentia; Cricetidae. The record is from RNAcentral.
CUAGGAAGACAGGAACAGCAGACAG